UUAUAAAAUGUGUUAUUGCUUCAUUACUUGCACACAUUUGGUUCUGUCGCCUGGUGCAAUUUAAACACUACCACAUCUUUUGUUUUAAUCAAUAUUAAUAGCUUAGCUUCCUUAAUUUGUAUGCAAGAAUUUGACUCUGACAUUUAUUAUUAUAGUUACUGAAGACAAUCUUGUAUUCACAGCAUUGCAUCAAUACACUUUCAGUGAAUGAUCAUGUGUGUCUACAUUGGCAAGUGGCAAAUUGCAAAAUGAUGCAGUGCAGCAAAACAAAUGUCUUUUUGUAUUUGGCACACAAGUACGGUACACCAUUUCCUUUGCCUCUAAACAGAGAACUGGCAUGUUGUAAGUCUUUGCCAAAUUCUGUACAUCCCACUAAUACAAGAAAAAUGUGCCAUUCCAAUUAAAAUUGUUACAAACUACUUUAAAGGGACACUUUAGGCACCAAAACCUCUUUAGCUUAAUGAAGCAGUUUGGGUGUAUAGAGCAUGACCCUGCAGUCUCACUGCUUAAUUCUCUGCCGUUUAGGAGUUAAAUCUUUGUUUAUACAGCCCUAGUCACACCUCCCUAUAUGUGACUUCCACAGUCUUCCUA
Non-coding RNA from Pelobates cultripes (western spadefoot toad), 591 nucleotides. NCBI's taxonomy places the organism in Eukaryota, Metazoa, Chordata, Amphibia, Anura, Pelobatidae. The record is from the annotation of a GenBank genome assembly.